Molecule: transfer RNA, 87 nt
Filed under: Oscillospiraceae bacterium
Lineage: Bacteria; Bacillati; Bacillota; Clostridia; Eubacteriales; Oscillospiraceae
Description: tRNA-Ser
Rfam family: tRNA
About the family: Transfer RNA (tRNA) molecules are approximately 80 nucleotides in length. Their secondary structure includes four short double-helical elements and three loops (D, anti-codon, and T loops). Further hydrogen bonds mediate the characteristic L-shaped molecular structure. tRNAs have two regions of fundamental functional importance: the anti-codon, which is responsible for specific mRNA codon recognition, and the 3' end, to which the tRNAs corresponding amino acid is attached (by aminoacyl-tRNA synthetases). tRNAs cope with the degeneracy of the genetic code in two manners: having more than one tRNA (with a specific anti-codon) for a particular amino acid; and 'wobble' base-pairing, i.e. permitting non-standard base-pairing at the 3rd anti-codon position.
Source: RNAcentral
GGAGUGAUGUCCGAGUGGUUUAAGGAGCCGGUCUUGAAAACCGGUGACCCGAAGGGGCCGUGGGUUCGAAUCCCACUCUCUCCGCCA